GAUGAACGCUGGCGGCGUGCCUAAUACAUGCAAGUCGAGCGAACAGAUGAGGAGCUUGCUCCUCUGACGUUAGCGGCGGACGGGUGAGUAACACGUGGAUAACCUACCUAUAAGACUGGGAUAACUUCGGGAAACCGGAGCUAAUACCGGAUAAUAUAUUGAACCGCAUGGUUCAAUAGUGAAAGACGGUUUUGCUGUCACUGAUAGAUGGAUCCGCGCCGCAUUAGCUAGUUGGUAAGGUAACGGCUUACCAAGGCAACGAUGCGUAGCCGACCUGAGAGGGUGAUCGGCCCAAUUGGAACUGAGACACCGUCCCUACUCCUACGGGAGGCAGCAGUAGGCAAUCUUCCGCAAUGGGCGAAAGCCUGACGGAGCAACGCCGCGUGAGUGAUGACGGUCUUCGGAUCGUAAAACUCUGUUAUUAGGGAAGAACAAAUGUGUAAGUAACUAUGCACGUCUUGACGGUACCUAAUCAGAAAGCCACGGCUAACUACGUG
This 497-nucleotide ribosomal RNA is filed under the name uncultured bacterium. RNAcentral's name for it is "partial 16S ribosomal RNA". It matches the Rfam family "Bacterial small subunit ribosomal RNA", at positions 28 to 507 of the family's 1533-position model. The record is from RNAcentral.